This 739-nucleotide ribosomal RNA is filed under the name uncultured bacterium. RNAcentral's name for it is "bacterial SSU rRNA". It matches the Rfam family "Bacterial small subunit ribosomal RNA", at positions 102 to 857 of the family's 1533-position model. The record is from RNAcentral.
ACGGGUGAGUAACGCGUGAGCAACCUGCCUUUCAGAGGGGGAUAACGUUUGGAAACGAGCGCUAAUACCGCAUGAUAUUAUUGAGCUGCAUGGCUUGAUAAUCAAAGGAGCAAUCCGCUGAAAGAUGGGCUCGCGUCCGAUUAGGUAGUUGGCGGGGCAACGGCCCACCAAGCCGACGAUCGGUAGCCGGACUGAGAGGUUGAACGGCCACAUUGGGACUGAGACACGGCCCAGACUCCUACGGGAGGCAGCAGUGAGGGAUAUUGGUCAAUGGGGGAAACCCUGAACCAGCAACGCCGCGUGAGGGAAGACGGUUUUCGGAUUGUAAACCUCUGUCCUCUGUGAAGAUGAUGACGGUAGCAGAGGAGGAAGCUCCGGCUAACUACGUGCCAGCAGCCGCGGUAAUACGUAGGGAGCAAGCGUUGUCCGGAUUUACUGGGUGUAAAGGGUGCGUAGGCGGCUUUGCAAGUCAGAAGUGAAAUCCAUGGGCUUAACCCAUGAACUGCUUUUGAAACUGCAGAGCUUGAGUGGAGUAGAGGUAGGCGGAAUUCCCGGUGUAGCGGUGAAAUGCGUAGAGAUCGGGAGGAACACCAGUGGCGAAGGCGGCCUGCUGGGCUCUAACUGACGCUGAGGCACGAAAGCGUGGGUAGCAAACAGGAUUAGAUACCCUGGUAGUCCACGCUGUAAACGAUGAUUACUAGGUGUGGGUGGACUGACCCCAUCCGUGCCGGAGUUAACA